CUUGGUCAUUUAGAGGAAGUAACAGUCGUAACAAGGUUUCCGUAGGUGAGCCUGCGGAAGGAUCAUUAACAAAUCGUGCCUAGCACAUAAGCCCUGCCGCAAGGCUGGACAUUUACGCGUGUUUGUGUGACUGUUGUGUAACCUAAUUAAUAAAACUUUUAACAAUGGAUCUCUUGGCUCUUGCAACGAUGAAGAACGCAGUGAAAUGCGAAAAUUAAUGCGAUCUGCAUGAAUCUGUGAGUCAUCUAGUCUUUGAACGCACCUUGCACCUAGUGCGUAAGCCCUAGGUAUGCCUGUUUGAGAAUCGCAAACAUCCUCAACCUUGGUCUAGGUUGGACUUGGCCUCCCGUCGCGGGGGCUGGAAUGCAGUCGCUAGCGGUGCUUGACAUUGUGUGCCAGAGCGUCACAAUGCGGCUGUCCAACGCUAGCGUCCCACCUCUCUUUUAUUGAUCUCAAAACAGGCAAGGCUACCCGCUGAACUUAAGCAUAUCAAUAAGCGGAGGA
RNAcentral lists this ribosomal RNA (504 nucleotides) under uncultured fungus. RNAcentral's name for it is "eukaryotic LSU rRNA". The stretch from base 154 to 307 matches the Rfam family "5.8S ribosomal RNA". Lineage: Eukaryota; Fungi. The record is from RNAcentral.